AGUCGUAACAAGGUUUCCGUAUGUGAACCUGCGGAAGGAUCAUUACCGAUCGCUGGCCCCUCGGGGCCCAACCUCCCACCCGUGUUGCCCGAACCUAUGUUGCCUCGGCGGGCCCCGCGCCCGCCGACGGCCCCCCUGAACGCUGUCUGAAGUUGCAGUCUGAGACCUAUAACGAAAUUAUUAAAACUUUCAACAACGGAUCUCUUGGUUCCGGCAUCGAUGAAGAACGCAGCGAAAUGCGAUAACUAAUGUGAAUUGCAGAAUUCAGUGAAUCAUCGAGUCUUUGAACGCACAUUGCGCCCUCUGGUAUUCCGGAGGGCAUGCCUGUCCGAGCGUCAUUGCUGCCCUCAAGCCCGGCUUGUGUGUUGGGCCCCGUCCCCCCCGCCGGGGGGACGGGCCCGAAAGGCAGCGGCGGCACCGCGUCCGGUCCUCGAGCGUAUGGGGCUUCGUCACCCGCUCUAGUAGGCCCGGCCGGCGCCAGCCGACCCCCAACCUUUAAUUAUCUCAGGUUGACCUCGGAUCAGGUAGGGAUA
This 533-nucleotide ribosomal RNA is filed under the name Penicillium citrinum. Its description in RNAcentral is "partial 18S ribosomal RNA". The stretch from base 185 to 338 matches the Rfam family "5.8S ribosomal RNA". The record is from RNAcentral. Lineage: Eukaryota; Fungi; Ascomycota; Eurotiomycetes; Eurotiales; Aspergillaceae.